CCUACGGGAGGCAGCAGUGGGGAAUAUUGGACAAUGGGCGAAAGCCUGAUCCAGCAAUACCGCGUGUGUGAAGAAGGCCUUCGGGUUGUAAAGCACUUUAAGCAGGGAAGAAAAAAUUCAAGCUAACAUCUUGAGUCUUGACGGUACCUGAAGAAUAAGCACCGGCUAACUCUGUGCCAGCAGCCGCGGUAAUACAGAGGGUGCAAGCGUUAAUCGGAUUUACUGGGCGUAAAGCGUGUGUAGGUGGUUGGGAAAGUCAAUUGUGAAAGCCCCGGGCUCAACUCGGGAACUGCUUUUGAUACUGUCUGACUAGAAUUCGGUAGAGGGAGGCGGAACUCCAGGUGUAGCGGUGAAAUGCGUAGAUAUCUGGAAGAACACCAAUGGCGAAGGCAACCUCCUGGGCCUGAAUUGACACUGAGACACGAAAGCGUAGGGGAUCAAACAGGAUUAGAUACCCUGGUAGUCCACGCCGUAAACGAUGACAACUUGACGUCGGUUUGCUCUGCGAAUCGGUGUCGUAGCUAACGCGAUAAGUUGUCCGCCUGGGGAGUACGGCCGCAAGGUUGAAACUUNAAAGUUGAAUUGACGGCUUGAGACGNGCGACGACGACGACGAGGAGGAGG
RNAcentral lists this ribosomal RNA (623 nucleotides) under uncultured bacterium. Its description in RNAcentral is "bacterial SSU rRNA". It matches the Rfam family "Bacterial small subunit ribosomal RNA", at positions 338 to 956 of the family's 1533-position model. The record is from RNAcentral.